GAUGAAGAACGUAGCGAAAUGCGAUAAGUAAUGUGAAUUGCAGAAUUCAGUGAAUCAUCGAAUCUUUGAACGCACAUUGCGCCCGCCAGCAUUCUGGCGGGCAUGCCUGUUCGAGCGUCAUUUCAACCCUCGAGCCCCCCCCGGGGGCCUCGGUGUUGGGGGACGGCACACCAGCCGCCCCCGAAAUGCAGUGGCGACCUCGCCGCAGCCUCCCCUGCGUAGUAGCACACACCUCGCACCGGAGCGCGGAGACGGUCACGCCGUAAAACGCCCAACUUCUUAGAGUUGACCUCGGAUCAGGUAGGAAUACCCGCUGAACUUAAGCAUAUCAAUAAGCGGAGGA
RNAcentral lists this unclassified non-coding RNA (343 nucleotides) under soil metagenome. RNAcentral's name for it is "partial contains 5.8S ribosomal RNA, internal transcribed spacer 2, and large subunit ribosomal RNA". The stretch from base 1 to 120 matches the Rfam family "5.8S ribosomal RNA", at positions 35 to 154 of the family's 154-position model. The record is from RNAcentral.